UAGAAGUGUCCACACGGGACGCUGGGAAGUACGGACUCUAACUGGUUAGGGGCUGAGGGAGGGCAGCGGGGGCUGAAGGACUCACUGGGGGAGAAGGCAACAAAACUACUCACCUUCAGCGAGCCACGUCUCCUGGAAGUGACUGAGAUCCUGGAAGAGAUCUGACGGACUGCAGGGGCUCCAAGCCCUCCUCCACGCCCUCCUCCACGCCAUGGAUGGAAUGUGCACCUCAGGAGACUAAUUACCUGCGUCAGUGUGCGCGCGCGCCAGUGUUCGGCUCAAUGAAGAGACUCGAUGGCUUUUUAUCAGGGUCACCACAGAGCAGAUCCGUAAUUGCCCCAUCCCCACUCUUCGGGUUAGAAACACGGCCCUUGUGUCUUUUUAUCUCCGUGUCUUCACAUUACUAAGGAACAGAGAAAGGAAGCAAACGCUGCUAUGGCACAGGAUGCUUAGAGAAGGCAAAACAACAAAACAAAACAAAACCUGCUGCCCUUGUUCCAGUUUACCUUCCAGGAACUUGACUGUGUUUGUUGACUGUGUCGUUUCAUUACCCCGACCCCGACCCCGUCUCAUGUCACUCAGUCAGGCCUCAGGCUCAGUGGAUAGCAUCCUCAUCUUUCAGACUCCAUCUGAGGGCUGAGAUCACAGAUGCGUACUCAGCAUGCGGAUGAACCCUCUGUUAAACAAGGGCUCUCCAGGCCAUCAGCAGAAGAUAUAACCGGCCCAAAGGAGUGAGGAUGGAGAGGAACACAAAUUUUGCAUUAGAGGGGGCUGACGGAGAGAGGAGGAUGGAGGUUGAGAGGCAGCGAUGUCACUGUCCCUGCAGCAGAAUAUCUCACCCACAGACCACGGGCGCCCCACAUUCGAGCCUGGCAAUUUGAAGGCCUGAAGAGUAACACCUGCUUGAAGGACCUUCCCAGGCAGAAGAAUUGGUCUUGUCAGGUCCCAGGGCAAUGCUCACCGCAGAGGAAGUGCUGGGCCAACAGAAGCUUGCUGAAUGAAUAAACGAACCCACAGACGGGAUGACCAGGAUGAACUCCUCGGGCCUAGAGCACGGAUGCACAACUCCCCGCCCCCAUCCCAGGCCUCAUCUGCUGAAGUCAUCACACAGGUGCCUCGCAGAUGCUCACUCGACAAGUGAGUGACUCUCUGGCUUCCCCUGCAUCCUUCCUGCAGCUCCGCAGGCUUCUCUUCUCUUUCUCUUAAUGGACUUUACCCCGGUGCUUCGGAGAGCGGGAGGCGGCCGGGAGUCCCCCAUUACUCCACAAAGGCCACCACGUAAGUGCUUCAACUUUGUCCUCACCCUGCCCCCCCCAUAAGUCAACAGGGUGGGUGGGGGCUGGGAGGGGGAAACAAAGGAGCCGAUAGCAGGUAGGAGCAAGUCAGCCUUCUCUCUGUGCAAGUCACCACCAAUAAAACCCAAUCAAUGCAGCCCUUUUUAAGUUGGUUGGAUCAGUGACCCAGAAAAUAGCUCCCCUGCAGCAAAGGAAAUGAUAGUCAAUAAACUGAGCCGCCAAUGGGAAAAAUCUAUUAAACGGAGCGAGAUAGCAGGAGACCUCUGGUGUUAACGGAGACCCUUUGGAACAGAGCCACAGAGCCAAGAGCCCGCGAUUAACCCUCUAGGCUCAAGGCCCGGGAGUCGCCUCUCUCUCAGCGCCUGCAGCUUCUGGUCCCCUCAGAUGGCAAGGAAGGAGCACGCUACAGCUGCGAGGGUUUCUUUGUGUCAUUUUCCGGCUCAAAUGAACUCUUGGUGGGGGAGUGUUCCCAGUUAGGUGCUCAGUAGGCUGGACGUAUGUGGCAUACAAUACCUUAUUCCCCCCCCCCCGGGAAGUAUCUUGGGGGGGGGUUGUCUCUUGACCUGCAGAUGUAGUUUAGCUGAUGGAGUGCCUGGCUAGCAUGAAGGAGGCCCCAGGUUCAAUCCCACAACUUGGGUUGAUAGUGCAAACCAGUAAUCCCCAAGCUUAGGUGGUGGAAGCAGGGGGAUCUCGGCCCUACAGUGAGUUCACGGCCAGUCUGGGCUCCAUGAGAUCCCGUCUCAAAAAUAAGACGAAUAUAGAGGUCUCUGUUCUCCCGCUUACAGCGGCUAUGCCGGCUGGGGUGUUGGGAGGUAGGGGAGAGGCCUCACCCCACUCCAGGCUGCUGACGCCGCCUUGCCAGCCGGCGGGGCUUCCCAGCUCUGGUAUCGACAAAGAAGAAAGUGGCUCCCUCAGUGUGUACUUUGAACCCUCUGUCACCGGAUCAAUGCGAGGUGGGGGACCAGGGACACUGGGAUGGGGUGGCAGGUUUCUCGGGGAAAGCUGUAUGAACCCAGAAGGAUUCGGACAAAAGACCAGUUCUUCCCAUCUGGUCCCGGGAAAGCCACAGUGUCCACCCCAGCCCUUCGGUUGUCACCACGGAUACCGAGUCACGUGGGCUGCAUCUGCACGUGCAUCUGCCAAGUGCGUGCCCAGAGCUGAGGACCCUGAUGCAGAAUGCCCCCAGCGUGCCGUGCCUAGCCUCGUCUUCAAUGAAAGGUCACGUUGACGUGUCACAGGUCGAUACGGCCAUGUUCAGGCAUGUCAAAGGCGGCCUGCUGACGGGCCGUUGGGCCAACUUGGAGGGGGACAGGCCUUGGGCCGAGCGCUGUGGGGAACAAGACCUCAGCUCUGCUAUGGCUGCGUUCUUUGCCGCUGCACGGACUCUUAUGAUGCUCAGUUCUGUUUUUUUUUUUUUUUUUCAUUCUGCCAGCAUGUGUGUUUGCACACCAGAAAAGGGCAUCAGAUCUCACCAUAGCUGGUUGUGAGUCAUCAUGCCGGUGCUGGGAAUUGAGCUCAGCACCUUUGGAAGAGCCGACAGUGCUCUUCACCUCUCAGCCACCUCUCCAGGCCCCUUAGUUCUGUUCUUAUGUGCCCCGCCAUAUCGUUCUUACUGCUUUUCACUGCUCUUCACGCCACCUCCUAGGUCACUGAACUAUGGGAGAGCUGUUGGCAUCUUCCCAGUCCGGGUGGGUGGGUGUUUAUUCUGCAGGUGGCCGAGGAAUGCGUAAGAAUAUGAUGAGACUCUCAGCCCUUCCCUUCACGGAUUGAGUCUCAUGUAGUCUAAGCUGGCCCAGAACUCAUUGUGUAGUCAAGAGUGACCUUAAACUCCCGAUCAUCCUGCAUCCGCCUACCAGUGCUCUGACGACAGGCAUGUGCCACCACGCCAUGCCUGAGAUGAGUUUAUGGAUGUGGCAAUCUCGGGCAAUAUGUUCAGAGUAGGGGAAGGUCCUCAUUGCAGCUCUCCCCUUCCUUCUCUCAGAUGGACACUUGCAUUAUUGUGGAGUAUUAGCUGCUACUGCAGGGGAGUGGUCACAUUUAGUGGGUGGGGAUCAUAAAAGAUAUUCGUGGAGAUAAGCCAGAAGCAAUCUGUCUGUCUGUCUGUCUAUCUAUCUAUCUAUCUAUCUAUCAGUUUAUCGAGACAGGGUUUCUCUGUAUAGCCUUGGUUGUCCUGGACUUGCUUUGUAGACCAGGCUGGCCUCGAACUUACAGUGAUCCACCUGCCUCUGCCUCUCUGAGUGCUGGGAUCACAGGCGUGUGCCACCGGGCCUGGCUUCAGAAGCAACUUUAAGAUAGUUUUUAAGAGCUGAGUCGGACUUGUUUCUCUGUUAAGAAGGAAGAUGCUUUCCCGAGACUCUGAGAGUCAGAUGGCUACUGUUUUCAUCGGCCAGCUCAGGGUCGGAGGUGACUUCCCCCGUGGACCAGCAGAACUAGUGGACACACGCGUGAGCCGGGUUUUUGGUCCUUGUGAGUUAUGGGUUGAUGCCUUUUAAAGACUGCAGUGGUUUCUUUGGCAUUCCAGAGAACAUCCAGAGGGUGUCCGCUGUAUAUCCCAAGGUCUGCGUGUCAUGCCCAGAAUCCCCAGUAGGGACCCACCCAUCCCCCCUCUUCCUUGUCACCUUCAACUCAGUGACCUCGCUUGUGUAGGCGAGUUCUACAUGCUGAGAAAAGUGAACUGACUACUCAUUCCUAGGGGGCGGUAUCAGGAAAGAUUUUUUUUUCAGUUUCAAGGUCAGCUCAUCACUUCAGCUGUGUAACUCUAGGCAAGUCACUUCGCAUUUCGUGAUUUUUACGGUUUCCUUUGUAAAAACGAGGAUCGAUAAUGUCUUUUUCACACGGUUGCUCUGGGCCCAGACUCAACAAGGUCUGUGCAGCAGAGUGGGCGUGUUUAGCACCAGAACUGGAGUGAGGUAAGGACCUGGAAGUUGACAAAAUCCUGGAGCUAGGGAAAUGGCUCUCAGUUGGUACAGCGCUUGUGAUACAAACACGAGGGUCCGAGUUUGACCCGUGUGAAAAAGCUGGAUGUGGGUGGCUCUUUGUACCUACAAGCCCCAGGGAGGUGGAGAAAGGAGGAUCCCUGGAGUUCCUGGCCAGCCAGCCUAACCUCACCAGUGAGCUCCAAGUUCAGCGAGAGAGACUCUAUCUCAAAACAAAAACCCAAAAAGCUACGACCUCUGACUACACCCAUGGACACACAUGCACGCAUAGAAAAGGACAGGGUUUUUAGAGCUACAGUUAUUUAUUUACUUAUUUUUCUUUCCUGUAUGGGAGGCUUGUGGCGGGGGGGAGUGCCCAGUGCCAUAGCGUUCCUGUGGAGGUCAGAGGUCAGUCUGUGAGAGUCAGCCCUCCGCUACUGUGUGGAUUUCUUUAGCUAGAACCCAGGAUGCCAUGCUUGGCUAUAAGGGCCUCUACCCGCUGCCUCGCCAGCCCAAAAGAUAGUAUUUUAUUUGCAAAUAUUGGACACCCUAUGCUCGAGGCUGUCAGCAGUUUCUUCGGGGGUGUGGCGCUGGGGGUUCAGUGAAUCCAGGACCCAGGGCUUCAAACAUACCAAGGCCACCACCCUUCCACUGGGCCGCAAACCCCAGCCGGAGAGAGUGAUUUAGAGCAAAACAAAACCAAAAACUUAGGGCUGAAGAGAUGGCUCGGUCGUCUCUUGCGGAGGACCUGACGACAGUUCCUAGGGCGUCUCCCUCCCGUCGGGAGGCUCACAGCUAGGAAUCUCCAGCUCCGGGGGAUCGGACGCCUCAGGCCUCUUCAGGCACCUGCAUGCAUGUGCACGUACCCACACGCACACACAUAUAAUUGAGAUAAGAUAGGAAUUUAAUAGCAUCCUUAAGAGCGAUAGAAACCCAGAGUCACUUCACGGGUGGAGACCUGAACCCCCUAACCGCUCCGCCCGCCGCAGUUGCGUGCUGCCGCCACCAGGUGGCAGUGUUGGCAAGCGCACAAGAACGGAGAGUUUUACCCGGGUUUAAACUUUUAUUUAGGAUGUGGAUACCUUAACGGGCCAUCCAAUCCCACGCAUCUUUACCUCAGGAGAUGGAGGGACAGAGAGGGGACGAACUCUGCCCAAGAUCACAGCCCAAGAUCAAGUUCCUUCAGGCUAUCAAGAGCUCUGCCAACUGAGCUACACCCCAACCCUUUUCAUAAUCUUUUUUAUUUUUUAUUUUUUUCCAGACAAGGUUUCACUUAUAUAGUGAAACCUGGAAUUCACUGUGUGGACCAGGUGGCCUCAAAUUCACAGCAACCCUCUUGCCGUGACUGUAUGGCGCGUGGGCUGCUGCUUUGGGCUGGUGUUUGGGACAGGAGUCUGCUGUGGUGUUUUUGUUUUUUGUUUUUUUGUCUUAGGAUGGAUGACGAGACCCCUGCCACACAGUCUUGUCUCGAAGGUUCUUGGGCCUCUGGGAUGGCUCGGCGGAUAAAGGUGCUUGCUGUUGCGCGUGACACCCGAGUUUGAUCUCAGGGACCCACCUUAACGGAAGGAGAGAAUCAGCUCCCACGACCUCCACAGCUUCACUGGGGCGUUCUCCAUCUACAGAAUACAUUUCAAACUGUAAUUAAAAAAAAGGAAGGCCCUGUGUGGGGCCUCGCCCUCACUGGGGCACGGUGGGAGGUGACUGGGCCCUGUUCCGCCGAGACCACUGGGAUCACCUUGGGUCACACAGCAUUUGCCGAGUCUGCGCGGUUUGCCCUUUGGGAGCUGGCCGGGUUGGCUGGGAGUAGACCGAGGUGACCCACCUCGGAGGUUUGUAACCUCUGAUGGGUCCUUUGUCCUGCCCGGUAGUGCGGGAACAGCACGCUCUGCGCAGACUCCCAGCCUCCCCCACUGCGGCUCCCCGAGAGUUCCUUUCCAGAGCACUCACUGACUGCCUGAGCCACAGGAUGCGAUGAUGGAGCUAUCAUUGGUUGACAAGGAGCAGCUGGUACCUGAUGCCACCUUCACUGUGAAGCCCACCGGGUGGGCUCUGUCCAUGCGCUCACGCCUCUUGAAGGGCCCCGCCCCCACCCCUCAGCCAGCUGUGCUCAAGUGGGAGGAGGUUGUUAAUCUCCAGACUGCCCCUAAACAGAGGGUGCUAUGUGGUUUUUCUGAAUCUUUCAGUUUUGUGUGUGUGUGUGUGUGUGUGUGUGUGUGUGUGUGUGAGCAUGUGUGCUUGUGUGUUUUGUGUGGGUGCCGGGACUGAACUCAGAGCCUCAGACAGGGUAGGCAUGUGGUCUGCUGUGGAGCUCUUUCCAAGCCUCUUUGUUGUUGUUGUUUUUGGUUUUGGGUUUGGGUUUUUCUGAGACAGGGUUUCUCUAUGCAGCCUUGGCUGUCCCAGACUCACUUUGUAGACCAGGCUGGCCUCGAACUCACAGAGAUCUGCCUGCCUCCGACUCCCCGAGUGCCGGGACUAAAGGCGUAUGCCACGGCACCCAGCUUUCAAGCUUCUCCUGAGUAGCCGUCUUUCCCACAUCCCAGUCUUAGGGUGGCCUAACUCGCCGUUUCGCCUGGUGCUAUGAAAUGAACAGAUGCCCAGCAGGUCUGUAAUGAUGUGGUGCCAGGGCUUACUCCACGUCUGUAGUUGUGGCUCAGACGUGCCCAGGACCACACGCCUUGCCUCUUCUCUUAGCUUGUAUCUGUGGUGUCCCUAGGGGCUUUCACCCAAGGCAUCUGAUGGAGAUGAUCAUGGGCCGUGCCCUUGGGUUAGAGAGCAGGAAGCCAGAAGUCAUGACAUGAUAUUUAUUUCGUUUUUUUCUUCUGAUCUUAUUCAGAUGGGUUUGGCAAUUGCUACGCAAUCCAGGCUGGCCUUGAACUUGUGUUGAUCUUCCUGCCUUGGCUCUUCAAGUGCUGGGAUUACAGGCAUGAGUUACCGUGUGUGGCGACCUUUAAAAACAAACUCCUUAGCUUUACAGGAAAGCUGCACUUAGACUUUUUACUCAGCUCCUCCACACGCUAAGCCACACAACCAGGUACUUUGGGCAAAACUGAGAACAGUACAUCGCUAGUAAAUCACGAUGGUUGGUUUUAGCUGUCAACAUGGCACAGCCUAGGAUCCCCUGGGAAGGAAGUCUCAAUGAGGCGCUGUGUAGAUCAGGAUAGCUUGAGCACGUCUUUUUUUUAAAAUUGUGUUAACUGAUGUGGAGAGACCCAGCCUGAAUGUGGGCUGUACCCUUCCCUGGCUUUGGGUCCUGGACAGUAGGUAUGGGGAGUGGGCUGAGCAAGAGAGGCAGGCAUGCGUUAAUUCCUUCUCUCUGCUCUGGUCGGCGGAGGUGGUGGGGCUAGCUGCGUCAGGUCCCUGCUGCCUUUGACUUCCUGGCAUCGUGGGCACAGAUAAAUCCUUCAUCCUGUAAAUUGCCUUUCCUCGGGGUAUUUUUUUAUCAUAGCAACAGAAACAAAAGGAGAACAGAAGACUUCUACCAGCUUCCGUCAGGGUUUCCAUGAACUUGGCCUUUGGUCCAUAUGAUCUUGUUGAUAUAUUUGUUUAUUUGAGACGAUGUUUCACCCUAUAGCCUCGGAUGGUCUUGAACUCUUGGAGAUCACCCUGCUGCAGCCUUCUAAAUACUGGGAUUAAAGGCUUGGCCUACCAUACCAUUUCAUUCUUUUGAGGCCAGAUUUUGCUAUGUAGUGUCUCCCAAACUUCUCUUAAACUUAUCAUCCUUCUGCCUCAGCCGGCCUCCUGAAUGCUGGGAUUACAGUGGACAGAACCAAACCAGGGUUUAAUCCACAUGAUUUUAGAGACAGCGCUUUUCACAAUUCACACACAGGGCUGAGGGUAUAGCUCAGUGGUUGAGCCCUUGCUUAGCAUCCACUGGUUUGAUCCCCACUGCUACAAAAUUGAAAAAAAAAAAAAAAAGUAAAUUAUGGUAGCAUUACUUUACUCCAGGGAACCAAUUUGAGUUAUUUCAUUGUAAGGACAAAAGGUGUAAACAGGCAAACAUUCUAGUUAAAUAUUGUCACUAUGUUUAUUCCUUUUUGUUUCUCCCUCUCUCUUGGGUACUAUCGCAGGCUCUGUGUGAGAGUAAAACACUGUUUGUUUGUUUGUUUUUAAGAUUUGUUCUUAUUUUUUAUUAUGUGUAAUGUAUGUGUGUCUAUGUGUGGGUAUGUAAAUGUGAGUGCAGUACCAAUAGAGGCCAGAAGAGGGCAUCAGAUCCUCCUGAAACCCCGCAUGGGAGCUGGGAACUGAAAUUGAGGAAUCCCUUGGAAGAGUAGCGAGUUUUCUCAACUGCUUUCCCGCCCAUGAGAUAUCCUUUUGAAAAAAACACUCUCAAAUUAUGUUUUGCUGUACUGGAUAAGUCCUUGCAUGUGUAUGGCAAGCACUCAAGAUACAUACCCAGACAUUCCAUCCCCCCCCUCCUUUUUGUUUUUGGUACGUGUAUUUGUUUUGAAGUGAAGUCCUACUCUACAGCCCUGGCAAUCUGGAACUCACAGUAUAGUCCAAACUGAUCUGGAACUUCCAGAGGUCUCUUUCCAUUGCCUCCCAAGUGCUGAGAUAACAGACAUAGACCAUAGCCCGCCGGCAUGAGAUCCCCUUCUACACCCAUGACAUUACCGUCUGAUGGCUGCUGGUUUGAGCAAGGAGAAGAGGUUGCCGGGCCAGUGGAGGGGUGAGAAGAGCAGAGGGGGCGUAGGACAGGAAGUGGGGUUGAGGCAGGCCUGUAGAAGAGAAGGCUCUCUAGGUGUGAAUGAACCCCUCAGCCCUGCCUCCCCAAAAGGCAGAGCUGUGCCUUUGGGUUGAGAGUGGGGUGAACACCCUGGGCUCCCUGGCCCAUGGAUCACAGCCAGUUUUCUGUCCCUGUCUGUCUCCCUCUCCUUGAUUACCCAUCUUCCACGUGUGCACUUGUCUGUAACAUUGCAUCGUCACAGUCAAUUACAAAUGUCACCAGAUUCUCUGUUAAUAGGAGAGGUGAACCUUCCACCCCGCUGUAAGGAAGGCAGGAUCCUCCUGUGGAGCUGAGUCUAUGGAGGCCGGAAGGGCUGGAGGAGGAAGAAGCAGGAAUGCACGUUGACUGAGGGGUCAGUUAAGGUCUCCGCCCUUUGGCUUCUUCGUAGCCAGCUCCCCCUGUGUUCUGUGGGUCUCAGACAAUGUCGGCUGAUGUCAUCUUCCGCCCUUGCUGCUUUCUAAUUCUCUGCUUCAAGAGGUGGGCCAGCUGGGGACCGGUGAGCCAGCAAGAGGAUGUGGGAGGUGAAGUAUUCGGAAUUUGGUUCAGGAAUUGCUUUCGGGAGGUGAGGGAGGCAGUGACCUCUGGGCGCUGUCCUUGGCAGGCUGUCCACCUGGGGAGAAGGCAGCUGAUUGUGGAGAGACUCUUGAAUCCUGUCCCCACUCCUGAGGACAGGGCACCCUACUAAGGUGGCCUAAGAGUAGAGGGCCACGCCCACCCUCAGGCUUCCAAGUCUGUGUCUCUCCAGGUGCCACGCUUGCUUCAAGAAGAUGCUUGGUAGAGAAGUGGCGGUGGGGGUGGGGGUAGGCACUUUGGGUGCAGUGGAGGCUUCUAUAGCCACAGGUGGACUUUUACUCAAGACUUAGGGUGCCGGAAGCCCAGGGUCACGCAAAAACUUCUACUGAGUCACUGGCUUCAGGUUCUUGUCUUUCCAACAUUUAGAGGAUGCGCUCCCUGGACAGUGGGAGGGUGGAUUUGGACAGGAGUUUUCUUAUGGGAUGAUGGGUGGAGCUUGAGGUAAAGCCAGGCAGGGUACCCGUGACAGCAGCAGGGCCUAGAAGUGGGGCACCCAUUGAGCUGCUGGGCCGGGAGGUUUCUUUGUUUUUUUUUUUUUUUUUUUCCUUUCACAGUUUUUAUUACGCUUACUUAUUUACUUAUUGGGAUAUGCGCUGUGGCACACGUGCGGAAGCCUGGAGGACAGCCUGCAGGAGUUGGUUCUUUCCUUCCAUCAUGGCUCCCAGGGGCCCAGCUCACGUGGUUAGGAUCAGCAGCCCUUACUCGCUGAGCGCUCUUGCCGCCGAGGCUUCUUGUGGAAGAACCUGACAUGAGGCGUGGGUGAGGGUGGACCAGCCAGUCCUGUCACCCCAGCCCUGAGGUGCUGAGGGGCCUCCCAGUUGCAGCCGCCCGAGUGCACCCUCCAGUCACGAACACAGAAUCACAGAGACGGACGUAGACCCACAGAGGAAUGCACGGAACACACGGGCGCACACACAUGCCAACGCCCGGACUCGCAUCCAGGGGUAGAGCUCUGUGACCCCUGGCCUCAAUCCAGAGCUCGGAACGCCAGGUUUGGAGGCCCCGGAUCCUGGUUCCCCCAGCCCAGUGAGGACGAUACAGGCCACCUCCGGAGAGCCUGGCCAUGCCGACGGAGGAAACGGAAACAAAAUUGAAUUAAUUACUCUUUACGUCGAACCCUUCUUCUUGAGUGUGCUAAGCGUCUGAUU
Molecule: long non-coding RNA, 10654 nt
Organism: Meriones unguiculatus (Mongolian gerbil)
Lineage: Eukaryota; Metazoa; Chordata; Mammalia; Rodentia; Muridae
Exons: 7
Source: RefSeq, a predicted model, not a curated record